Molecule: ribosomal RNA, 1533 nt
Filed under: uncultured bacterium
Lineage: Bacteria
Description: bacterial SSU rRNA
Rfam family: Bacterial small subunit ribosomal RNA
Source: RNAcentral
AGAGUUUGAUCCUGGCUCAGGACGAACGUUGGCGGCGUGCUUAACACAUGCAAGUCGAGCGGUUGAGAGGUGGGAGGUGAGAGGUUAGACGUGGGAGAAAGAGGACGGGUGAGUAACGCGUGGGUAACCUACCCAUAAACCCGGGGCAACCCUUGGAAACGAGGGCUAAUACCGGAUAAUCUUUAGAUUUGGCAUCAAGGUUUAAGAAAAGAUGGCCUCUGUAUAUGCUAUCACUUACAGAUGGACCCGUGUCUGAUCAGCCAGUUGGUGGGGUAACGGCCCACCAAAGCGAAGACGGGUAGCCGGCCUGAGAGGGUGAACGGCCACACUGGGACUGAGACACGGCCCAGACUCCUACGGGAGGCAGCAGUGGGGAAUCUUCCGCAAUGGACGAAAGUCUGACGGAGCAACGCCGCGUGUAUGAUGAAGGUCUUCGGAUUGUAAAGUCCUUUUUUUGGGGAAGAACGGUAGAUUUGAGAAUAUUGAGUGAGGUUGACGGUACAAUAAGAGGAAGCCACGGCUAACUACGUGCCAGCAGCCGCGGUAAUACGUAGGUGGCAAACGUUGUCCGGAAUUACUGGGCGUAAAGGGCGAGUAGGUGGUUUGCUAAGUCAAAAGUGAAAACUCCGGGCUCAACUCGGAGACUGCUCCUGAAACUGGUAGACUUGAGUGCAAGAGAGGGAAGUGGAAUUCCUAGUGUAGCGGUGAAAUGCGUAGAUAUUAGGAGGAACACCAGUGGCGAAGGCGACUUCCUGGCUUGUAACUGACACUGAGGCGCGAAAGCGUGGGGAUCAAACAGGAUUAGAUACCCUGGUAGUCCACGCCGUAAACGAUGAGUGCUAAGUGUGGGCGAAAGUCAGCCCUCGGUGCCACAGCUAACGCAAUAAGUAUUCCGCCUGGGGAGUAUGCACGCAAGUGUGAAACUCAAAGGAAUUGACGGGGGCCCGCACAAGCGGUGGAGUAUGUGGUUUAAUUCGACGCAACGCGAAGAACCUUACCAAGGCUUGACAUCCCGUGACAGCCUAAGAAUAUAGACUUAUGGAUUUAACAUCUAUACACAGAGACAGGUGGUGCAUGGUUGUCGUCAGCUCGUGUCGUGAGAUGUUGGGUUAAGUCCCGCAACGAGCGCAACCCCUACAGCUAGUUGCCAGCACGUAAUGUGGUAUGUCUGGACAGACCGCCGUUGAUAAAACGGAGGAAGGUGGGGAUGACGUCAAAUCAUCAUGCCCCUUAUGUCUUGGGCUACACACGUACUACAAUGGCCUGAACAGAGGGAAGCAAAACUGCGAAGUUAAGCGAACCCCUUAAAACAGGUCCCAGUUCGGAUUGUAGGCUGCAACUCGCCUACAUGAAGUUGGAAUCGCUAGUAAUCGCAGGUCAGCAUACUGCGGUGAAUACGUUCCCGGGCCUUGUACACACCGCCCGUCACACCACGAAAGUCGGCAACACCCGAAGCCGGUGACUCAACCUGAAAGGGAGAGAGCUGUCGAAGGUGGGGUUGGUAAUUGGGGUGAAGUCGUAACAAGGUAACCU